GUGAUUUUUUAACAAGAUUCAAUAAUCUGUAUUCAUCAUUGGGACAGGUAGAUAAAGUAGGUCCUUUUGUGAUCUUGUAUGUUUAUAUGGAUUUUGCCAGCAGUAAAGCAUAGAGUUCCGAACUAUAAUUGAUCUUUGGCUUCUUGAGUGCAUGGAUUCUGACAACACAUUGCAUAUAGACACCAAGUGUAGAUUGGUUCUCAUAGUGAUUCUGACAGUGCAUGUACUUUGAUUAUUCUAUACAUGGUGAUGUGGUUCCAAGUAUUGUUGAUCUUGGCUUCUAAUGUUGUUCUCAAGUUUUAGCAUUUUACAUAUAGUUCCCAAUUGCAAGACAAGAUGAUACUGGUUCCUGGAGUAAAUUCUGCCAGACUCAGUACUUUGCCAUUAAUUUCCAA
Molecule: long non-coding RNA, 395 nt
Filed under: Mytilus galloprovincialis (Mediterranean mussel)
Lineage: Eukaryota; Metazoa; Mollusca; Bivalvia; Mytilida; Mytilidae
Source: RNAcentral